This 253-nucleotide ribosomal RNA is filed under the name uncultured bacterium. Its description in RNAcentral is "partial 16S ribosomal RNA". It matches the Rfam family "Bacterial small subunit ribosomal RNA", at positions 524 to 776 of the family's 1533-position model. The record is from RNAcentral.
UACGGAGGGAGCUAGCGUUGUUCGGAAUUACUGGGCGUAGAGCGCGCGUAGGCGGCUUUGUAAGUUAGAGGUGAAAGCCCGGAGCUCAACUCCGGAACUGCCUUUAAGACUGCAUCGCUUGAAUCCGGGAGAGGUGAGUGGAAUUCCUGGUGUAGCGGUGAAAUGCGCAGAUAUCAGGAAGAACACCAAUGGCGAAGGCAGCUCUCUGGGACGGUACUGACGCUGAGACGCGAAAGCGUGGGGAGCGAACAGG